UACGGAGGGGGCUAGCGUUGUUCGGAAUUACUGGGCGUAAAGCGCACGUAGGCGGACUGGACAGUCAGGGGUGAAAUCCCGGGGCGCAACCCCGGAACUGCCUUUGAAACUCCCGGUCUUGAGGUCGAGAGAGGUGAGUGGAAUUCCGAGUGUAGAGGUGAAAUUCGUAGAUAUUCGGAGGAACACCAGUGGCGAAGGCGGCUCACUGGCUCGAUACUGACGCUGAGGUGCGAAAGCGUGGGGAGCAAACAGG
Molecule: ribosomal RNA, 253 nt
Filed under: uncultured bacterium
Lineage: Bacteria
Description: partial 16S ribosomal RNA
Rfam family: Bacterial small subunit ribosomal RNA
Source: RNAcentral